This 750-nucleotide ribosomal RNA is filed under the name uncultured bacterium. RNAcentral's name for it is "bacterial SSU rRNA". It matches the Rfam family "Bacterial small subunit ribosomal RNA", at positions 61 to 810 of the family's 1533-position model. The record is from RNAcentral.
GUCGAACGGUAGGGGGGGCAACCCCUUGAGAGUGGCGAACGGGUGAGUAAUGUAUCGGAACGUGCCCAGUCGUGGGGGAUAACGUAGUGAAAAUUACGCUAAUACCGCAUACGAUCUAUGGAUGAAAGCGGGGGAUCGCAAGACCUCGCGCGAUUGGAGCGGCCGAUAUCAGAUUAGGUAGUUGGUAGGGUAAAGGCCUACCAAGCCAACGAUCUGUAGCUGGUCUGAGAGGACGACCAGCCACACUGGAACUGAGACACGGCCCAGACUCCUACGGGAGGCAGCAGUGGGGAAUUUUGGACAAUGGGCGAAAGCCUGAUCCAGCCAUUCCGCGUGCAGGAUGAAGGCCCUCGGGUUGUAAACUGCUUUUGUACAGAACGAAAAGGUCUCUAUUAAUACUAGGGGCUCAUGACGGUACUGUAAGAAUAAGCACCGGCUAACUACGUGCCAGCAGCCGCGGUAAUACGUAGGGUGCAAGCGUUAAUCGGAAUUACUGGGCGUAAAGCGUGCGCAGGCGGUUAUAUAAGUCAGAUGUGAAAUCCCCGGGCUCAACCUGGGAACUGCAUUUGAGACUGUAUAGCUAGAGUACGGUAGAGGGGGAUGGAAUUCCGCGUGUAGCAGUGAAAUGCGUAGAUAUGCGGAGGAACACCGAUGGCGAAGGCAAUCCCCUGGACCUGUACUGACGCUCAUGCACGGAAGCGUGGGGAGCAAACAGGAUUAGAUACCCUGGUAGUCCACGCCCUAAACGAU